This 253-nucleotide ribosomal RNA is filed under the name uncultured bacterium. Its description in RNAcentral is "partial 16S ribosomal RNA". It matches the Rfam family "Bacterial small subunit ribosomal RNA", at positions 524 to 776 of the family's 1533-position model. The record is from RNAcentral.
GACGUAGGGCGCGAGCGUUGUCCGGAUUUAUUGGGCGUAAAGAGCUCGUAGGCGGUCUGUUGCGUCCGCUGUGAAAACUCGGGGCUUAACCCCGAGCCUGCAGUGGAUACGGGCAGACUAGAGGUAGGUAGGGGAGAAUGGAAUUCCCGGUGUAGCGGUGAAAUGCACAGAUAUCGGGAGGAACACCGGUGGCGAAGGCGGUUCUCUGGGCCUUACCUGACGCUGAGGAGCGAAAGCGUGGGGAGCGAACAGG